Molecule: ribosomal RNA, 329 nt
Filed under: uncultured eukaryote
Lineage: Eukaryota
Description: partial 18S ribosomal RNA
Rfam family: Eukaryotic small subunit ribosomal RNA
Source: RNAcentral
CCCUUAGAUGUCCUGGGCUGCACGCGCGCUACACUGAGUGUCUGAGAUACGAGUCUGCCUGGUCCGGCAAGGUCUAGGUAAUCGCUAAAAGACACAUCAUGCUUGGGAUAGAUUAUUGCAAAUAUUAAUCUUGAACGAGGAAUUCCUAGUAAGCGCAAGUCAACAGCUUGCGUUGAUUACGUCCCUGCCCUUUGUACACACCGCCCGUCGCUACUACUGAUUGGAUGUUUAAGCGAGGUUCUCGAACUGCUAGCGACUUAGCUUCGGUGAGGUCGCAGUGUGGGAAGUGAACCUAGCUUUGGUGUCUAGAGGAAGUAAAAGUCGUAACA